RNAcentral lists this long non-coding RNA (383 nucleotides) under Linum usitatissimum (flax). Its description in RNAcentral is "long non-coding RNA (LUSI_LNC001390)". The record is from RNAcentral. Lineage: Eukaryota; Viridiplantae; Streptophyta; Magnoliopsida; Malpighiales; Linaceae.
CCGCCACUGGCACGCAACCACUACCCCAAAGAAAGAAAAAAAAUGGAAAAGAAAUCCCUCAUCUUCUUUCAAAAUCAGAAUCAAAGCUCUCAACUUUGACCUCGAUUUCGCUCAAAACUGGGCUAGGUACGGCCAAUUCGAUGCGAUUCCUUCGGCGGAUAGCGGGAAUCUUCGGCCUCGCUAGAGAAGAAGACCACGAUCUGCAAGACCACAGAGGAGGAGAGCUUGAACAAGACGAAGCAGCAGCAGCAGCGCCAUACAUCCCUCCUCAUCAAUCCCGUCAUCGUUCAGACUUCCAUGAAACUGGCCUCCCUCGUCGAGGCUUCAGCGUCCCUGUACAGGUCGCCGUCGGCCCUGUCCUCUUGCCCUGCAAGGCCGGCGAU